AACGAACGCUGGCGGCAUGCCUAACACAUGCAAGUCGAACGAGACCUUCGGGUCUAGUGGUGCACGGGUGCGUAAGGCGUGGGAACAUGCCCUUAGGCUCGGAAUAACUCCGCGAAAGGGGUGCUAAUACCGGAUAAUGUCUUCGGACCAAAGAGUUAUCGCCUUUGGGGGGGCCCGCGUUGGAUUGGGUAGUUGGUAGGGUAAAAGCCUACCAAGGCGACGAUCCGUAGCUGGUCUGAGAGGAUGAUCAGCCACACUGGGACUGAGCCACGGCCCAGACUCGUACGGGAGGCAGCAGUGGGGGCUGGAGGGGAGUGGGCGAAAGGCUGAACCAGCAAGGGCGGGAGGGUGGUGAAGGGGUUGGGGUCGGCAAGCUCUUUUGCCGGAGAUGAUAGUGACAGUACCGGGAGAAUAAGCACCGGCUAACUCCGUG
This 433-nucleotide ribosomal RNA is filed under the name uncultured bacterium. Its description in RNAcentral is "partial 16S ribosomal RNA". It matches the Rfam family "Bacterial small subunit ribosomal RNA", at positions 28 to 507 of the family's 1533-position model. The record is from RNAcentral.